Molecule: ribosomal RNA, 497 nt
Filed under: uncultured bacterium
Lineage: Bacteria
Description: partial 16S ribosomal RNA
Rfam family: Bacterial small subunit ribosomal RNA
Source: RNAcentral
GAUGAACGCUGGCGGCGUGCCUAAUACAUGCAAGUCGAGCGAACAGAUGAGGAGCUUGCUCCUCUGACGUUAGCGGCGGACGGGUGAGUAACACGUGGAUAACCUACCUAUAAGACUGGGAUAACUUCGGGAAACCGGAGCUAAUACCGGAUAAAAUAUUGAACCGCAUGGUUCCAUAGUGAAAGACGGUUUUGCUGUUAUUUAUAGAUGGAUCCGCGCCGCAUUAGCUAGUGGGUAAGGUAACGGCUUAGCAAGGCAACGAUGCGUAGCCGAGGAGAGAGGGUGAUCGGCCACACUGGAACUGAGACACGGUCCAGAGUCCUACGGGAGGCAGCAGUAGGGAAUCUUCCGCAAUGGGCGAAAGCCUGACGGAGCAACGCCGCGUGAGUGAUGAAGGUCUUCGGAUCGUAAAACUCUGUUAUUAGGGAAGAACAAAUGUGUAAGUAACUAUGCACGUCUUGACGGUACCUAAUCAGAAAGCCACGGCUAAGUACGUG